GAGUUUGAUCCUGGCUCAGAUUGAACGCUGGCGGCAUGCCUUACACAUGCAAGUCGAACGGCAGCACGGGAGCUUGCUCCUGGUGGCGAGUGGCGAACGGGUGAGUAAUGCAUCGGAACGUAUCCUGGAGUGGGGGAUAACGUAGCGAAAGUUACGCUAAUACCGCAUAUUCUGUGAGCAGGAAAGCGGGGGAUCUUCGGGCCUCGCGCUCUUGGAGCGGCCGAUGUCGGAUUAGCUAGUUGGUGAGGUAAAGGCUCACCAAGGCGACGAUCCGUAGUAGGUCUGAGAGGAUGAUCUGCCACACUGGAACUGAGACACGGUCCAGACUCCUACGGGAGGCAGCAGUGGGAAUUUUGGACAAUGGGGGCAACCCUGAUCCAGCCAUGCCGCGUGAGUGAAGAAGGCC
RNAcentral lists this ribosomal RNA (406 nucleotides) under bacterium enrichment culture clone ALO1_GLFRUDD03GY15R. Its description in RNAcentral is "bacterial SSU rRNA". It matches the Rfam family "Bacterial small subunit ribosomal RNA", at positions 9 to 416 of the family's 1533-position model. The record is from RNAcentral.